RNAcentral lists this ribosomal RNA (478 nucleotides) under uncultured Caldilineaceae bacterium. RNAcentral describes it as "bacterial SSU rRNA". It matches the Rfam family "Bacterial small subunit ribosomal RNA", at positions 28 to 505 of the family's 1533-position model. Lineage: Bacteria; Bacillati; Chloroflexota; Caldilineae; Caldilineales; Caldilineaceae. The record is from RNAcentral.
GAUGAACGCUGGCGGCGUGCUUAACACAUGCAAGUCGAACGUGAAGCCUAGAAUGAUUACUUCGGUUUGAUUUUUAGGUGGAAAGUGGCGAACGGGUGAGUAACGCGUAGGUGAUCUGCCUUGGAGAGGGGGAUAACCAUUGGAAACGAUGGCUAAUACCGCAUGGUCCUGUGGGUAUGGGAAUGCCCGCAGGUAAAGCUCCGGCGCUCCAAGAGGAGCCUGCGUCCGAUUAGCUAGUUGGUGGGGUAAAGGCCUACCAAGGCUGCGAUCGGUAGCUGGUCUGAGAGGACGAUCAGUCACAUGGGAACUGAGACACGGUCCCAACUCCUACGGGGGGCAGCAGUGAGGAAUAUUGCACAAUGGGGGAAACCCUGAUGCAGCAACGCCGCGUGGAGGAUGAAGGCUUUUGAGUUGUAAACUCCUUUUCUGGGGGAAGAGAUAAGGACGGUACCUCAGGAAUAAGGUCCGGCUAACUACG